GUUUACUUGUACAUGAAUCUGUCACUCACUACUCACUUAUUUCAAUGUUUUAGACGUGUUUAUAAUAAUAAAGAACAAGAAAUUCGUUUUGUAUAACUAAAAUUUUCACACUUAUGUGUUUGAAAGGUUUAGGGUCCUAGAGAGAAAGUGGCAAUAGCACCUAGUGCUUCACCUACGACAACCCCCCAACUUGCCCAGUGAGUAUUACAACUUAUGAUUAUGCCAUAAUUGCAAUUUAUAUAUGGUGUUUUUUUAAUGCAGAGCACCAAAAAAAUCCAAGAAGUAACAAUUAGCAUUAUAUAUGAUUAUUAUUGCUAGAAAUUUCUCAUCACCUUCACUGUAACUUCAAGGUGAGUUCCUUAUAUUAAUAAUAAUAAUAAUAACCGCCGACACCGACACUGACACCGACAGCACUAUUUCAUUCCUCUUCUAACGGUAAGUUAAUUUUCCUUUUCAGUUUUCAUUUUUCUUACUCAACUUUCUUGAAUACCAUCUAUUUAUCUAACUAAUACAAUACCUACUCAAGAAUAAUUUCCUUUCUUCCCAAUGUUUUUUCCUAUAAAAACCACUAUUUCCUGUCCUCAGACUUUGAAGCAAUUGCAGAAGUUUUGGUUUUGGAAAAUGGGUGGAUUUCCUUUCCCCAAUAUGAUGUGUUUUCACUGGCAUGGAGUUUAUUAGGACUAAGCUAUCAGCUUUAAAUUGAUAUUCUCUUGGUCUCAAGGUGUUACAUGCUUAUAGUUUUUAACUGAGAUAUUUAUGACUUCGUUUUGGUAUGGCUUAAUUUUCUGAUAUGUGACCUACAAGCAUGUCUGGGAGAUUAACAACUUCUCAAAAUUAGAAUUAGAAUGCUGUGACUCUAAAACAUUCAAUGCUAGAAACUGAGUGGUACAACAAUCACCCUGCUUUGUUUCUAAUAUAUGCUUCCAAAAUGUCUGAAAUUUUGCUUUGCAAUUUACUUACAUUGGUCAUAAUGCUAUUUAUUGUAGGAAGAUAAAACUAUAUUCCAAAGAAAAUGGCCCUGGAUUUGGUAGUCAUCUUUCUUUAUACUUAGCCUUAUCUAACCCAUCAACACUUUCUCCCGUUUCAAAAAUAUAUGCACAGAUAACAUUACGCAUACUUGACCAAAAGCAAGCCAAGCAUCACCAGUCAAUACUAGGGUAUUCUGGUGAAGGAUAGUUGCUUGGUGGAAGCUGAAGUCCAAAUUCGGGGUGGUUGAAGCAUUGUCCUGAGUUUGUCUAUAAAGCAGUCACAAUAAGCACCAACACUAUUUCAAUGUAAUGGCUUAAUUUUCUGAUAUAAGUUAUAUUAAUUAAGUGCUUAGGCAGCUAGGCUUUAGAAUGUGUUAUGUGUAGUAUAUUAUGUAUUUAAUUCUGUAAGAAUAUUGAAGAAUUAGAAAAAUUGACUUAUUGGACCAA
This is a non-coding RNA of Arachis ipaensis, 1415 nucleotides long. The record is from RefSeq and is a predicted model, not a curated record. Lineage: Eukaryota; Viridiplantae; Streptophyta; Magnoliopsida; Fabales; Fabaceae.